RNAcentral lists this ribosomal RNA (467 nucleotides) under uncultured bacterium. RNAcentral's name for it is "partial 16S ribosomal RNA". It matches the Rfam family "Bacterial small subunit ribosomal RNA", at positions 29 to 507 of the family's 1533-position model. The record is from RNAcentral.
ACGAACGCUGGCGGCGUGCUUAACACAUGCAAGUCGAACGGAAAGGCCCUGCUUUUGUGGGGUGCUCGAGUGGCGAACGGGUGAGUAACACGUGAGUAACCUGCCCUUGACUUUGGGAUAACUUCAGGAAACUGGGGCUAAUACCGGAUAGGAGCUCCUGCUGCAUGGUGGGGGUUGGAAAGUUUCGGCGGUUGGGGAUGGACUCGCGGCUUAUCAGCUUGUUGGUGGGGUAGUGGCUUACCAAGGCUUUGACGGGUAGCCGGCCUGAGAGGGUGACCGGCCACAUUGGGACUGAGAUACGGCCCAGACUCCUACGGGAGGCAGCAGUGGGGAAUAUUGCACAAUGGGCGGAAGCCUGAUGCAGAAACGCCGCGUGCGGGAUGACGGCCUUCGGGUUGUAAACCGCUUUAGCCUGUGACGAAGCGUGAGUGACGGUAAUGGGUAAAGAAGCACCGGCUAACUACGUG